This 433-nucleotide ribosomal RNA is filed under the name uncultured bacterium. Its description in RNAcentral is "partial 16S ribosomal RNA". It matches the Rfam family "Bacterial small subunit ribosomal RNA", at positions 29 to 507 of the family's 1533-position model. The record is from RNAcentral.
AACGAACGCUGGCGGCAUGCCUAACACAUGCCAGUCGAACGAGACCUUCGGGUCUAGUGGCGCACGGGUGCGUAACGCGUGGGAACCUGCCCUUAGGUUCGGAAUAACUCCCCGAAAGGGGUGCUAAUACCGGAUAAUGUCUUCGGACCAAAGAUUUAUCGCCUUUGGAUGGGCCCGCGUUGGAUUAGCUAGUUGGUAGGGUAAAAGCCUACCAAGGCGACGAUCCAUAGCUGGUCUGAGAGGAUGAUCAGCCACACUGGGACUGAGACACGGCCCAGACUCCUACGGGAGGCAGCAGUGGGGAAUAUUGGACAAUGGGCGAAAGCCUGAUCCAGCAAUGCCGCGUGAGUGAUGAAGACCUUAGGGUUGUAAAGCUCUUUUACCCGGGAUGAUAAUGACAGUACCGGGAGAAUAAGCGCCGGCUAACUCCGUG